UUCAGACAUUAGAUAUCCACCGGCUCCACUCGUGACUCUUCUCUGACCUCCAUUGUUGCAGACCAACCGCCUACGAGUCUACGCUCUCAGUCCUCACGGCCUCACCGCCGUAACGUCCUCAGACAGUCAGACGCCAUCAGCCCAUCACGCCAACUCCUACACCUUUCCGCUGAGACGCCGGUGACCGGUGACCCUUUCCGCCCCGUCGACUGAGACGCGGAGACGCCGAGUCAGUCCGACAGUCUCCCACUCUUCCUCAGGGCACAGUAAUUCAUGCUCAGAUUCCAUCAAAUAUUGUACCCAAAUUUGUGGAUAGCUUUGUAGAAGGAAACGUCUAUGCUGUGAAGAAUUUUUAUGUUGUUUCAAAUUAUCAUACAUACAAAACUAGCAUGCACGAAUACAUGCUGCAAUUCAAUCACGAAACUAUUCUAAAAGAGUUGAGGUCAGACCAUUUUCCAUGGCACAUGUUUAGGCUAAGAUCAUUUCAGAGUUUGAAAGGAAAUCCAGAUUUAAAUGUCAAGGAGCUCAUAGAUAUUAUCGGACGUGUUGUUCAAGUGUAUGCACCCCAAGAAAAGACCAUUCAAGGGAAUAAAACUAGGCUUAUUGACUUUGUGUUAGAGGAUGCUCAGGUUUCCUAAGUGAUGAGGCAGACAGUCCAGUGCAACUCUUGGAAUGACCACACCACAUGAGGUUAGUGAAGGCCCUGCCAAGAGGUCCUUGCUAGAUGAGUUCUCAUCGACCAAGGAAUCGAAGAAAAUUAGAGAAACUGUUGUCAAAAGUUGAAAAGAUAGAUUAGGUUGGGGUUGAUGAUGAAUUGAAUUCUGUAAUGGAUAUUCUGAACAAUUUUUUUGACAAACUUGAGAUUUUGAACUUUUGUUUUAUUGUUUGUGCACUAUAGUCCUGAACAAUAAUGUACUGGAAUUGGUUUAUGAAGAGCUAUUCUAAUAGUUCUAAUUUAUAUUUAGUUGGUUUCUUACAUGUUAUGUGUGUAGUUGUCUGUGUUUUUGUUUGCAGGGAUCAGGUUAGGAUACAUAGCAGUGGGUAGUGGUGGAAGCAUAUUCAAGGUUUACAUUCUACUGGAGGAAGACUAGCCUAUGGAAUGGAAUUUAGCUCAUAAUAUGUGUAUAUAAUUGUAAAGUUUAUCAAAACUACAACAGUAAGAAAUGAUGUUUUCAAUCAAGCUGUAAAUCAGUAUCAA
Molecule: RNA transcript, 1198 nt
Organism: Ipomoea triloba (trilobed morning glory)
Lineage: Eukaryota; Viridiplantae; Streptophyta; Magnoliopsida; Solanales; Convolvulaceae
Gene name: replication protein A 70 kDa DNA-binding subunit D-like
Exons: 4
Source: RefSeq, a predicted model, not a curated record